Cyprinus carpio (common carp) is the source of this 154-nucleotide long non-coding RNA. RefSeq lists it as uncharacterized. The record is from RefSeq and is a predicted model, not a curated record. NCBI's taxonomy places the organism in Eukaryota, Metazoa, Chordata, Actinopteri, Cypriniformes, Cyprinidae. The transcript has 2 exons.
CUCAGUAUAAACAGAAAGAGAGCAGCAUCUCCAAAAUCUAGCUGUGUGUCUAUGAAGAGAAACAACUCCAUUAGUCUGACCCCUGAUCUUAGUGAUGGACCUGAGGCCUCGGAAUCUGUGGUGGGAUUGUAGGACUUCAGGGAACAAACACACA